RNAcentral lists this ribosomal RNA (324 nucleotides) under uncultured eukaryote. RNAcentral describes it as "partial 18S ribosomal RNA". It matches the Rfam family "Eukaryotic small subunit ribosomal RNA", at positions 1470 to 1796 of the family's 1831-position model. The record is from RNAcentral.
CCCUUAGAUGUCCUGGGCUGCACGCGCGCUACACUGAUGUGUCCAGUAAGCACCUAACCUCUUCCGAAGGGAACGGGUAACCUUAGCAAAGCACAUCGUGAUGGGGAUAGAUUAUUGCAAUUAUUAGUCUUGAACGAGGAAUUCCUAGUAAGCACAAGUCAUCAGCUUGUGUUGAUUACGUCCCAGCCCUUUGUACACACCGCCCGUCGCUCCUACCGAUUGAAUGUUCCGGUGAAUACUUCGGACUGCGAGGUCUGCAGUUUCUGCGUUCCUUGCGGAAAGUUGAAUAAACCUUAACAUUUAGAGGAAGGAGAAGUCGUAACA